UACUGGCAAAUUAUCAUCCUC
Caenorhabditis elegans is the source of this 21-nucleotide non-coding RNA. The record is from Ensembl. Lineage: Eukaryota; Metazoa; Nematoda; Chromadorea; Rhabditida; Rhabditidae.